GAUGAAGAACGCAGCGAAAUGCGAUAAGUAGUGUGAAUUGCAGAAUUCCGUGAAUCAUCGAAUCUUUGAACGCACAUUGCGCCUUCUGGUAUUCCGGAAGGCAUGCCUGUUCGAGAGUCAUUAGCAACCGUUUCGAUCCCUUUCUUUCAGAAAUUACAAAGAGGAAAAGGGUUUGGUUAUGGUGGAGGAGGGAAAGGGAGCGUUUAGCCUGUAAAAAAAGAGGCUGUGUUCCGCCUCCCCCCCAAAAUUGUACAGGCGGUCGUGUGCGCCCACGCAUCGAGGUGUUGUAAAAGCUGCCACGGCACUUUUCACCUGUGCAGUGCGAGAUUGGCCAGCCGGUUUAAAAACCCCUCCAAACAAUCAAAGGUUGACCUCGGAUCAGGUAGGGAUACCCGCUGAACUUAAGCAUAUCAAUAAGCGGAGGA
Molecule: unclassified non-coding RNA, 425 nt
Filed under: soil metagenome
Description: partial contains 5.8S ribosomal RNA, internal transcribed spacer 2, and large subunit ribosomal RNA
Rfam family: 5.8S ribosomal RNA (bases 1-120)
Source: RNAcentral